CUGAGACACGGUCCAAACUCCUACGGGAGGCAGCAGUGAGGAAUAUUGGUCAAUGGACGAGAGUCUGAACCAGCCAAGUAGCGUGAAGGAUGACUGCCCUAUGGGUUGUAAACUUCUUUUAUACGGGAAUAAAGUUAGCCACGUGUGGCUUUUUGUAUGUACCGUAUGAAUAAGGAUCGGCUAACUCCGUGCCAGCAGCCGCGGUAAUACGGAGGAUCCGAGCGUUAUCCGGAUUUAUUGGGUUUAAAGGGAGCGUAGGCGGGUUGUUAAGUCAGUUGUGAAAGUUUGCGGCUCAACCGUAAAAUUGCAGUUGAUACUGGCGACCUUGAGUGCAACAGAGGUAGGCGGAAUUCGUGGUGUAGCGGUGAAAUGCUUAGAUAUCACGAAGAACUCCGAUUGCGAAGGCAGCUUACUGGAUUGUAACUGACGCUGAUGCUCGAAAGUGUGGGUAUCAAACAGGAUUAGAUACCCUGGUAGUCCACACAGUAAACGAUGAAUACUCGCUGUUGGCGAUAUACAGUCAGCGGCCAAGCGAAAGCAUUAAGUAUUCCACCUGGGGAGUACGCCGGCAACGGUGAAACUCAAAGGAAUUGACGGGGGCCCGCACAAGCGGAGGAACAUGUGGUUUAAUUCGAUGAUACGCGAGGAACCUUACCCGGGCUUAAAUUGCAACUGACGGAACCGGAAACGGUUCUUUCUUCGGACAGUUGUGAAGGUGCUGCAUGGUUGUCGUCAGCUCGUGCCGUGAGGUGUCGGCUUAAGUGCCAUAACGAGCGCAACCCUUAUCGAUAGUUACUAGCAGGUUAUGCUGAGGACUCUAUUGAGACUGCCGUCGUAAGAUGUGAGGAAGGUGGGGAUGACGUCAAAUCAGCACGGCCCUUACGUCCGGGGCUACACACGUGUUACAAUGGGGGGUACAGAAGGCAGCUACACGGCGACGUGGUGCUAAUCCCGAAAGCCUCUCUCAGUUCGGAUUGGAGUCUGCAACCCGACUCCAUGAAGCUGGAUUCGCUAGUAAUCGCGCAUCAGCCACGGCGCGGUGAAUACGUUCCCGGGCCUUGUACUCACCGCCCGUCAAG
RNAcentral lists this ribosomal RNA (1079 nucleotides) under uncultured bacterium. Its description in RNAcentral is "bacterial SSU rRNA". It matches the Rfam family "Bacterial small subunit ribosomal RNA", at positions 319 to 1401 of the family's 1533-position model. The record is from RNAcentral.